AUACCUUUCUCGGCCUUUUGGCUAAGAUCAAGUGUAGUAUCUGUUCUUAUCAGUUUAAUAUCUGAUACGCGGGCCAUGUGCUCGCCUCGAUAUUAAAUUCAUUUUUUUCUGGGGAAGGGUCUGCCCACGGCAGCUUGCUGCUGCGGCCCUCGCGCGUCGCCCAUGCGUUGCACUACUGCACGGGCCUGGCGCACCCCUA
Molecule: small nuclear RNA, 199 nt
Organism: Ananas comosus (pineapple)
Lineage: Eukaryota; Viridiplantae; Streptophyta; Magnoliopsida; Poales; Bromeliaceae
Rfam family: U2 spliceosomal RNA
About the family: U2 is a small nuclear RNA (snRNA) component of the spliceosome (involved in pre-mRNA splicing). Complementary binding between U2 snRNA (in an area lying towards the 5' end but 3' to hairpin I) and the branchpoint sequence (BPS) of the intron results the bulging out of an unpaired adenosine, on the BPS, which initiates a nucleophilic attack at the intronic 5' splice site, thus starting the first of two transesterification reactions that mediate splicing.
Source: Rfam